GAUGAACGCUGGCGGCGUGCCUAAUACAUGCAAGUCGAGCGAACAGACGAGGAGCUUGCUCCUCUGACGUUAGCGGCGGACGGGUGAGUAACACGUGGAUAACCUACCUAUAAGACUGGGAUAACUUCGGGAAACCGGAGCUAAUACCGGAUAAUAUAUUGUACCGCAUGGUUCAAUAGUGAAAGACGGUUUUGCUGUCACUUAUAGAUGGAUCCGCGCCGCAUUAGCUAGUUGGUAAGGUAACGGCUUACCAAGGCGACGAUGCGUAGCCGACCUGAGAGGGUGAUCGGCCACAUGGGAACUGAGACACGGUCCAGACUCCUACGGGAGGCAGCAGUAGGGAAUCUGCCGCAAUGGGGGAAAGCCUGACGGAGCAACGCCGCGUGAGUGAUGAAGGUCUUCGGAUCGUAAAACUCUGUUAUUAGGGAAGAACAAAUGUGUAAGUAACUAUGCACGUCUUGACGGUACCUAAUCAGAAAGCCACGGCUAACUACGUG
RNAcentral lists this ribosomal RNA (497 nucleotides) under uncultured bacterium. Its description in RNAcentral is "partial 16S ribosomal RNA". It matches the Rfam family "Bacterial small subunit ribosomal RNA", at positions 28 to 507 of the family's 1533-position model. The record is from RNAcentral.